This 259-nucleotide unclassified non-coding RNA is filed under the name uncultured fungus. RNAcentral describes it as "partial contains 5.8S ribosomal RNA, internal transcribed spacer 2, and large subunit ribosomal RNA". Lineage: Eukaryota; Fungi. The record is from RNAcentral.
AACGCACAUUGCGCUCCCUGGCAUUCCGGGGAGCAUGCCUGUCCGAGCGUCAUUUCUGCCCUCAAGCGCGGCUUGUGUGUUGGGCGUGGUCCCCCCCCUUGCGGGGGGACCUGCCCGAAAGGCAGCGGCGACGUUCCGCCCAGGUCCUCGAGCGUAUGGGGCUUUGUCACCCGCUCGGGACGGAUCUGCGGGCGUCGGUCAUCCACGAUUCUUUCCACGGUUGACCUCGGAUCAGGUAGGAGUUACCCGCUGAACUUAA